Molecule: ribosomal RNA, 209 nt
Filed under: uncultured bacterium
Lineage: Bacteria
Description: partial 16S ribosomal RNA
Rfam family: Bacterial small subunit ribosomal RNA
Source: RNAcentral
UACGUAGGGUGCAAGCGUUGUCCGGAAUUAUUGGGCGUAAAGAGCUCGUAGGCGGUCUGUCACGUCGGCUGUGAAAACUCGGGGCUCAACCCCGAGCCUGCAGUCGAUACGGGCAGACUAGAGUCCGGCAGGGGAGACUGGAAUUCCUGGUGUAGCGGUGAAAUGCGCAGAUAUCAGGAGGAACACCGGUGGCGAAGGCGGGUCUCUGG